UUUGCCCACAUAAAAAUAGAGAACCAAUCUCUUAAUGGAAUUAAAUUUCAACUCACAAUUAUGUAAUUAGUUCCUUUGAGUGUGAUUAAAAUGAUUAAUCCAAUUCUUCCAGCGUGACUUGUAGCUUCAGUUGGUUACACAAUGAUGGCAGCAGGUAACUAGCUUCUGCAGGCCACCCCUGCUGGCUGAUGGGUCGCUAAUUAGUAAAACAGGAAGAGCAGAACAGUUCUUUUCUUUUUUCAGGUGGCCCUGGAGAUUGAACACAGACAGGGUCUUGUACCUGCUCAACAAGGACUCAUCCACUGAGCUACAUCCCCGGCCUGCAGAAUAUUUUUUUGAAGAGCUAAAAAUAUCAAUUCCUGGGUUUUGGAUCAGCUGACAUGGGAAGCUGGGUAAAGUGUACAUGGAAGCCAAGCACAGGAGCAUGUGCCUGUAGUUCCAGCCACUAAGGAGCCUGAAGAAACUUGAACUGAGGAGUUCAAGGCCAGCCUGGGCAAGAUAGCAAGACUCUGUUUCUAAAAAGCAAAGGAGGUACUUGGGAUCCUUAUUUCUUAUACCUGCAUGUGAGUCUAUGAAUUUCAUCUCAAAAUCAAAAUUUAAUUUUAAAAUAUUCAUUUAUUGGUGGCAC
RNAcentral lists this long non-coding RNA (628 nucleotides) under Chinchilla lanigera (long-tailed chinchilla). RNAcentral's name for it is "lncRNA (ENSCLAG00000024250.1)". Lineage: Eukaryota; Metazoa; Chordata; Mammalia; Rodentia; Chinchillidae. The record is from RNAcentral.